UGCAGAUCUGGUUGAUUCUGCCAGAGGUCACUGCUAUCGGGGUUCGAUUAAGCCAUGUGAGUCGAGAGGGUUCGGCCCUCGGCGUACUGCUCAGUAACACGUGGAUAACCUGCCCUAGGGAAGGGGAUAACCCCGGGAAACUGGGGAUAAUACCCUAUAGGUUACAGAUGCUGGAAUGCCCUGUAACCCAAAGUUCCGACGCCCUAGGAUGGAUCUGCGGCCGAUUAGGUAGUUGUUGGGGUAAUGGCCCAACAAGCCUGUAAUCGGUACGGGUUGUGGGAGCAAGAGCCCGGAGUUGGAUUCUGAGACACGAAUCCAGGCCCUACGGGGCGCAGCAGGCGCGAAACCUUUACAAUGCGGGCAACCGUGAUAAGGGAACCUCGAGUGCCUGUAAACGCAGGCUGUUCAGGUGUUUAAAACGCACCUGAAGAAAGGGCCGGGCAAGACCGGUGCCAGCCGCCGCGGUAACACCGGCGGCUCGAGUGGUGGCCACUUUUAUUGGGCUUAAAGCGUUCGUAGCUGGGUUGUUUAGUCUCUUGGGAAAUCUGGCGGCUUAACCGUCAGGCGUCUAAGGGAUACUGGCAAUCUUGGAACCGGGAGAGGUGAGGGGUACUUCGGGGGUAGGAGUGAAAUCCUGUAAUCCUCGAGGGACCACCUGUGGCGAAGGCGCCUCACCAGAACGGCUU
RNAcentral lists this ribosomal RNA (686 nucleotides) under uncultured archaeon. RNAcentral's name for it is "bacterial SSU rRNA". It matches the Rfam family "Archaeal small subunit ribosomal RNA", at positions 1 to 691 of the family's 1478-position model. The record is from RNAcentral.